GUGACAGAGUGAGGGAAGGGGUGACUAGUGGCAGAGUGAGGGAAGGAAAGGAAGGGGUGACAGAGUGAGGAAGGGGGUGACACGUGACAGAGUGAAGGAGGUGGUGACUGUCACUAGUCACCCCAUCCCUCCCUCUGUCACUAAUCACCACCUCCCUCACUCUGUCACUAGUCACCCCCUCCCUCUCUCUGUCACUAGUCACACCCUCCUUCACUCUGUCACUAGUCACCCCCUCCCUCACUCUGUCAC
This 249-nucleotide small RNA is filed under the name Pelobates cultripes (western spadefoot toad). Lineage: Eukaryota; Metazoa; Chordata; Amphibia; Anura; Pelobatidae. The record is from RNAcentral.